ACAAUGGAGAGUUUGAUCCUGGCUCAGGAUGAACGCUAGCGGCAGGCCUAAUACAUGCAAGUCGAACGAGAUUUUAUCUUUCGGGAUAAAUGACAGUGGCGCACGGGUGCGUAACGCGUAUGCAACCUACCCUUAACUGGAGGAUAGCCCGGAGAAAUCCGGAUUAAUACUCCAUAGUAUCAUUAGAUGGCAUCAGAAUAUGAUUAAAGAUUUAUUGGUUAAGGAUGGGCAUGCGUGACAUUAGCUAGUUGGUGAGGUAACGGCUCACCAAGGCAACGAUGUCUAGGGGUUCUGAGAGGAUGAUCCCCCACACUGGUACUGAGAUACGGACCAGACUCCUACGGGAGGCAGCAGUAGGGAAUAUUGGUCAAUGGGCGAGAGCCUGAACCAGCCAUGCCGCGUGCAGGAAGACGGCCUUCUGGGUUGUAAACUGCUUUUAUACAGGAACAAAAAGGCCAUGCGUGGCAAACUGAGUGUACUGUAUGAAUAAGCACCGGCUAACUCCGUGCCAGCAGCCGCGGUAAUACGGAGGGUGCAAGCGUUGUCCGGAUUUAUUGGGUUUAAAGGGUGCGUAGGUGGUCAAUUAAGUCAGU
This 593-nucleotide ribosomal RNA is filed under the name Cyclobacteriaceae bacterium. RNAcentral's name for it is "bacterial SSU rRNA". It matches the Rfam family "Bacterial small subunit ribosomal RNA", at positions 1 to 592 of the family's 1533-position model. The record is from RNAcentral. Lineage: Bacteria; Pseudomonadati; Bacteroidota; Cytophagia; Cytophagales; Cyclobacteriaceae.